Cynara cardunculus var. scolymus (artichoke) is the source of this 357-nucleotide long non-coding RNA. RefSeq lists it as uncharacterized. The transcript has 2 exons. NCBI's taxonomy places the organism in Eukaryota, Viridiplantae, Streptophyta, Magnoliopsida, Asterales, Asteraceae. The record is from RefSeq and is a predicted model, not a curated record.
UUUUGCUUUGGGUUCGAACAAGCAGAAACUGAAGAAGGAAGAAGAGUCUGAUUUUGUGUUAUGACUGGAUUAUUUGCUUCUGUUAACAUCUUCAUAUCUCUGUGAUCAUAAGGUCAGACAUAAUUAGAGGAUAAGAGAAAGGGGAAAAUGUGAAGAUAUAAUGAUUGCUUUACAUAUGUGGAUUUUAAAAGAUGUUAUAUAACUUGUACUUGAUAACUUUUUAUGUUUACAAGUUUUGUGUUGGGUGUAUAUGGAAAACAUUGUAGCUACUUUUGUAGUAUGACAAGUUGUACAUUUGGGACUAGUGUGUAAUUAUUUGAAUUUCAUAUUAUAUGAAAUAUGAGGGUUAUAUGCAAA